GUGGGGAAUCUUCCACAAUGGGCGAAAGCCUGAUGGAGCAACGCCGCGUGAGUGAUGAAGGCCUUCGGGUUGUAAAGCUCUGUUAUUCGGGACGAAAGAGCGCAUGGCUAAUAUCCAUGCGAAGUGACGGUACCGAAAGAGAAAGCCACGGCUAACUACGUGCCAGCAGCCGCGGUAAUACGUAGGUGGCAAGCGUUGUCCGGAAUUAUUGGGCGUAAAGCGCGCGCAGGCGGCCUUUUAAGUCCAUCUUGAAAGCGUGGGGCUCAACCUCAUGAGGGGAUGGAAACUGGUAGGCUGGAGUAUCGGAGAGGAAAGCGGAAUUCCUAGUGUAGCGGUGAAAUGCGUAGAGAUUAGGAAGAACACCAGUGGCGAAGGCGGCUUUCUGGACGACAACUGACGCUGAGGCGCGAAAGCGUGGGGAGCAAACAGGAUUAGAUACCCCGGUAGUCC
RNAcentral lists this ribosomal RNA (450 nucleotides) under uncultured bacterium. RNAcentral's name for it is "partial 16S ribosomal RNA". It matches the Rfam family "Bacterial small subunit ribosomal RNA", at positions 354 to 796 of the family's 1533-position model. The record is from RNAcentral.